UUGACCUCAAAUCAGGUAGGACUACCCGCUGAACUUAAGCAUAUCAAUAAGCGGAGGAAAAGAAACUAACAAGGAUUCCCCUAGUAACUGCGAGUGAAGCGGGAAAAGCUCAAAUUUUGAAUCUGGCGGUCUUUGCAGCCGUCCGAGUUGUAAUCUAGAGAAGCGUCUUCCGCGCCGG
This 178-nucleotide ribosomal RNA is filed under the name Boletus edulis. RNAcentral's name for it is "partial 26S ribosomal RNA". It matches the Rfam family "Eukaryotic large subunit ribosomal RNA", at positions 1 to 173 of the family's 3401-position model. The record is from RNAcentral. Lineage: Eukaryota; Fungi; Basidiomycota; Agaricomycetes; Boletales; Boletaceae.